UAAACAUAAAGAGAAGGCCUUGAAGUAUUUCAUACUACUGCGUAGACAGUCAGAGCUGAUUGGUCAGAGCUACCAUUUCUUUCACAGACAACAGUGAACACCUGCCCAUACAUGUAACCUCUGCAAGCUGCCUGCUGGAUCCUUGUUAUUAUGGCUGUACUACUAUGAAGCUUACUAUGAAACAAGAUUGAACAGAAGACUGAGUGUGAGCUGGCAUGUGAGAAUGCUACAGGUUUGCCAAAAGAGAUCUAAACCAGGAUUUAUUUUAAAAGAAAUGGAAGCCUACUUUCACUGGGCUGUAGUAGAAGUGUCGAUUGUGGAGAAGACAGUGGAAUCCGGCUUCAGAUCUAACAAGCAGAUGAAAAAGAGGAGAAGAAAACUGCUUAUUUAGCAGUGAGUUUAGGUGAACCAAUGAGAUCCUCCACUGAAACCGAAAGUACAAAAACAUGAGGAAGUAUGAGCCCAACCACUUGCCAAUUUCUUCCGUGAUCAGGCAGCAGAUAAGUUGUUUUCAGCUUGGCGUUUAUUUUAGCUUAAUAUCAUCAUAAGUACAGUACAGUUUGCACAGG
Columba livia (rock pigeon) is the source of this 569-nucleotide long non-coding RNA. RefSeq lists it as uncharacterized. Lineage: Eukaryota; Metazoa; Chordata; Aves; Columbiformes; Columbidae. The transcript is spliced from 3 exons. The record is from RefSeq and is a predicted model, not a curated record.